AGUGAACGCUGGCGGUAGGCCUAACACAUGCAAGUCGAACGGCAGCACAGUAAGAGCUUGCUCUUACGGGUGGCGAGUGGCGGACGGGUGAGGAAUACAUCGGAAUCUACUUUUUCGUGGGGGCUAACGUAGGGAAACUUACGCUAAUACCGCAUACGACCUACGGGUGAAAGCAGGGGAUCUUCGGACCUUGCGCGAUUGAAUGAGCCGAUGUCGGAUUAGCUAGUUGGCGGGGUAAAGGCCCACCAAGGCGUCGAUCCGUAGCUGGUCUGAGAGGAUGGUCGGCGACCUGGGAGGGUGGACACGGUCCAGGGUCCUACGGGAGGCAGCAGUGUCGAACAUGGGACAGUGGGCGCAAGCCUGAUCCAGCCAUCCCGCGUGGGUUGCGACGGCCCUCCGGUUGGAAUGCCCGUCUUUUGGGAAUGAACAGCAUCAGGUUAAUACGCAGCUGUUCUGACGGUACCCAAAGAAUAAGCACCGGCUAACUUCGUG
This 492-nucleotide ribosomal RNA is filed under the name uncultured bacterium. Its description in RNAcentral is "partial 16S ribosomal RNA". It matches the Rfam family "Bacterial small subunit ribosomal RNA", at positions 29 to 507 of the family's 1533-position model. The record is from RNAcentral.